CCUCCCAAAGUGCCGAGACUGCAGCCUCUGCCCGGCCGCCACCCCGUCUGGGAAGUGAGGAGCGUCUCUGCCCGGCCGCCCCGUCUGAGAAGUGAGGAGCCCCUCCGCCCGGCAGCUGCCCCGUCUGAGAAGUGAGGAGCCCCUCCGCCCGGCAGCCACCCCGUCUGGGAAGUGAGGAGCGUCUCUGCCUGACAGCCACCCCGUCUGGGAGGGAGGUGGGGGGGGUCAGCCCCCCGCCCGGCCAGCCGCCCCGUCCGGGAGGUGAGGGGCGCCUCUGCCCGGCCGCCCCUACUGGGAAGUGAGGAGCCCCUCUGCCCAGCCAGCCGCCCCGUCCGGGAAGGAGGUGGGGGGGUC
RNAcentral lists this long non-coding RNA (354 nucleotides) under Homo sapiens (human). RNAcentral's name for it is "HSALNT0303590". Lineage: Eukaryota; Metazoa; Chordata; Mammalia; Primates; Hominidae. The record is from RNAcentral.